Long non-coding RNA from Homo sapiens (human), 522 nucleotides. Ensembl annotates it as ANKRD44 antisense RNA 1. Its record names the gene ANKRD44-AS1. The record is from Ensembl. Lineage: Eukaryota; Metazoa; Chordata; Mammalia; Primates; Hominidae.
ACAGGAAGUAUACAAAUACGCACAGCUAGAAUGUAAGGCACAGGCCGCAGGAGAAGUGCAUGGAGAAGGGAGAGAAAUUGUACCUGGCCUCCUGAAAGACGCAGCCUCUGAAAUGAAUAUUGAAGACUGGGGAGGAUUUAAACAGGUAGAGACGGAUGGAAUGGACACAGGGCUCGGGAGCAGCGCCAGCCCGACAUCGGCGGAGGAGCACCGGAAGUUCUGCAGCACUGGCUUUCUUUGCUCUUCCACCUAUGCAAGCUCCUUCUCUCUUGUGGCUUGCCGAGCCUGGUUAGCUCUGAGACCGGAAGUUCUGAAGUCAGCUGGCAUCCUACAUCUGUGCAACCUACUUCUCUCCCCAUCCCACCACAGAAACCAGAGCCUCGAGGCUUUUGGCUUGGGUGCUGCCUUCACAGUUUAGGUUUUGGUAAGAAGAAAGCUUAUCUUCAUGUCAUGAGAAAGAAAAAAAAAUGUAUCUUUACGUAACGAGCUGAAAGAACAAAACAAGUAUACCUAAGCCAAGUA